GACGAACGCUGGCGGCGUGCCUAAUACAUGCAAGUAGAACGCUGAAGGGAGAGCUUGCUCUUCUGGAUGAGUUGCGAACGGGUGAGUAACGCGUAGGUAACCUGCCUGGUAGCGGGGGAUAACUAUUGGAAACGAUAGCUAAUACCGCAUAACAUUGACUAUUGCAUGAUAGUCAAUUGAAAGGUGCAAUUGCACUACUACCAGAUGGACCUGCGUUGUAUUAGCUAGUUGGUGGGGUAACGGCUCACCAAGGCGACGAUACAUAGCCGACCUGAGAGGUGAUCGGCCACACUGGGACUGAGACACGGCCCAGACUCCUACGGGAGGCAGCAGUAGGGAAUCUUCGGCAAUGGACGGAAGUCUGACCGAGCAACGCCGCGUGAGUGAAGAAGGUUUUCGGAUCGUAAAGCUCUGUUGUAAGAGAAGAACGAGUGUGAGAGUGGAAAGUUCACACUGUGACGGUAUC
RNAcentral lists this ribosomal RNA (466 nucleotides) under uncultured bacterium. RNAcentral's name for it is "bacterial SSU rRNA". It matches the Rfam family "Bacterial small subunit ribosomal RNA", at positions 28 to 479 of the family's 1533-position model. The record is from RNAcentral.